This 439-nucleotide ribosomal RNA is filed under the name uncultured bacterium. RNAcentral describes it as "partial 16S ribosomal RNA". It matches the Rfam family "Bacterial small subunit ribosomal RNA", at positions 339 to 795 of the family's 1533-position model. The record is from RNAcentral.
CUACGGGGGGCACCAGUGGGGGAUAUUGCACAAUGGGGGAAACCCUGAUGCAGCAACGCCGCGUGAAGGAAGACGGUUUUCGGAUUGUAAACUUCUAUCAGCAGGGAAGAAAUUGACGGUACCUGACUAAGAAGCCCCGGCUAACUACGUGCCAGCAGCCGCGGUAAUACGUAGGGGGCAAGCGUUAUCCGGAUUUACUGGGUGUAAAGGGUGCGUAGGCGGUUAUUUAAGUCAGAUGUGAAAGCCCGAGGCUCAACCUCGGGACUGCAUUUGAAACUGGAUAACUAGAGUACAGGAGAGGAAAGCGGAAUUCCUAGUGUAGCGGUGAAAUGCGUAGAUAUUAGGAAGAACACCAGUGGCGAAGGCGGCUUUCUGGACUGUAACUGACGCUGAGGCACGAAAGCGUGGGGAGCGAACAGGAUUAGAUACCCGUGUAGUC